Humulus lupulus (European hop) is the source of this 806-nucleotide long non-coding RNA. RefSeq lists it as uncharacterized. The transcript has 3 exons. The record is from RefSeq and is a predicted model, not a curated record. Lineage: Eukaryota; Viridiplantae; Streptophyta; Magnoliopsida; Rosales; Cannabaceae.
UAUAAAUAUGAACCACGUAAUUUUAGAACAAAGUCUUCUCUUUUUUCAAUGCUCAUACCUUAUUAUGACUUUCUUGCUUUUAGACAAAAUAAUGUGCAAGACUUGGCACCUGAUCAUGCUAUACAAAAUAUUUUGACUGUGUGUACAAUGACUCUUUAUGAAAUAACAUGUUGAAUGCAUUUUAUAAUUUAACGUAUUUUUGUUUGUCUAAUUAUAUAACAUAUUGAACUUUUUUUUAACCUUUUGACCACAUAUAUCUAAAUUAACGCAUGCAUUAACCUUGCUUUUUAGGUCUCUCAAAUUUUACAUCCUUAAAAGAAUGGAAGAAGCUAGCAUGUUUAGAAUGAACAUUAUUUUAGUUGUUUAAGUUUCCUCACCUUGUGUAUUUAUCACUCUGGUAUUUGUAUUUUUGCAUCGUAUAGUCUUGUAAACAAAUUUGAACAUCAAUAUUCAUUUGUCCAUAUCUUAGUUUGAGUAUAGUAUAUUUUUGCAUCAUAUAUAGGCUUUGCUUUUGUUCAAAAAAGUAUAAUAUAUUUUUUUACUAGUGAUUCACAAUCUCUUGUGUGUGUUGCGUGUACCUCAGUCCCACCACCUGCAUGGCUCCUGAGUUUUUAUUGGUUCAAUUUCCACGAAUCUUGGAUCAUGGAAGUCUUGUAAGAAAUUCUCAUAUUCCAUGAGAAGGUUUUAGUGGCAUUUCAUUGCAGUUCAGCUCUUAGCUUCAAAGUAGAGCAAUCGAGCUAGGGUUUUAGCAGAAGAGAGAUAGAGAGAGAGAGAGAGAUGUUGUACAUAGUGGGAUUGGGAUUGGG